AUACGGGUGGUGCAAGCGUUAAGCGGAAUUACUGGGCGUAAAGCGCGCGUAGGCGGUUUGCUCAGUCGGAUGUGAAAGCCCAGGGCUCAACCUUGGAACUGCAUACGAUACUGGCAAACUAGAGUGUGAGAGAGGAUAGUGGAAUUUCCGGUGUAGCGGUGAAAUGCGUAGAUAUCGGAAGGAACAUCAGUGGCGAAGGCGACUGUCUGGCUAAACACUGACGCUGAGGUGCGAAAGCGUGGGUAGCAAACAGGAUUAGAAACACUAGUAGUCC
RNAcentral lists this ribosomal RNA (274 nucleotides) under uncultured bacterium. RNAcentral describes it as "partial 16S ribosomal RNA". It matches the Rfam family "Bacterial small subunit ribosomal RNA", at positions 523 to 796 of the family's 1533-position model. The record is from RNAcentral.